Molecule: ribosomal RNA, 421 nt
Filed under: uncultured bacterium
Lineage: Bacteria
Description: bacterial SSU rRNA
Rfam family: Bacterial small subunit ribosomal RNA
Source: RNAcentral
GGGCCCGCACAAGCGGUGGAGCAUGUGGUUUAAUUCGAUGAUACGCGAGGAACCUUACCAGGGCUUAAAUGUAGGACGACAGUUUGGGAAACCAAUCUUUCUUCGGACGGCCUACAAGGUGCUGCAUGGUUGUCGUCAGCUCGUGCCGUGAGGUGUCGGGUUAAGUCCCAUAACGAGCGCAACCCCUAUCCUUAGUUGCCAGCGGAUAAUGCCGGGGACUCUAAGGAAACUGCCGGUGCAAACCGUGAGGAAGGUGGGGAUGACGUCAAAUCAUCACGGCCCUUACGUCCUGGGCCACACACGUGCUACAAUGGCAAGUACAAAGGGCAGCUACCUGGUGACAGGAUGCGAAUCUCUAAAGCUUGUCUCAGUUCGGAUUGGAGUCUGCAACUCGACUCCAUGAAGCUGGAAUCGCUAGUAA